Cryptomeria japonica (Japanese cedar) is the source of this 4299-nucleotide long non-coding RNA. RefSeq lists it as uncharacterized. The record is from RefSeq and is a predicted model, not a curated record. NCBI's taxonomy places the organism in Eukaryota, Viridiplantae, Streptophyta, Pinopsida, Cupressales, Cupressaceae. The transcript is spliced from 6 exons.
GGUAGCACAUAAAAUAUCUUCUUAGUCUUAAAUCAAAAUUCAAAAUUCUUGGGAUAUUGAAUUCUUGUUCUGAAGAAGAGGUUACAGUGACAUGGUUUCCAUGGAUAUGAGCUCAGAAAUCCUCACAAGAAUUGGGUGCAUACUUCUUAUGAUACCAAUUAUGGGUUUCUGGCUCAAAUAGGAAAUAUAUUAACAGAGUUUCGUUGUCCCUAAAUUUAGCUCCAUUAAAACACAAACGACUUGGGUUCCAUUGUGUCAUUUUGAUUAUUGUGUUCUUUACAGUUGGUGCAAUCACCCACCCUUCAUCAGAUAUUUCAAGAUUUAAAAAUCAUUUAUAUGGGCGUUGCAUUUCAAGGUUACUGUGUUCUUCAAGGUUUCUUGACCGCCAUUUUCCGAUAGAGGGAGAUUGAAUUCUUGUUCUGAAAAAGAUAUGAGCUCAGAAACACAAGCGACUCGGGUUCCAUUAUAUCAUUUUGAUUAUUUUGUUCUUCACAGUUGGUGCAACCAUCCUUCAUCAGAUAUCUCAAGUGGCAUGGUUUCCAUGGAUAUGAGCUCAGAAAUCCUCACAAGAAUUGGGUGCAUACUUCUUAUGAUACCAAUUAUGGGGACAUAAAGAUGAUAGAGUAUGACCAACAGUAAAGUGCUUAACAGAGGCAAGUGCAAUAAAACCAGGAAAUCCAAGAUGUUGUCCUCUUACCUGAUGAGGUGUUACUGUUGGUGCUACUGUCUUCUCAAAGAUUCAGAUGCAAAGACAAAGAAUCUCUGCAAUCUUCUUUCGAAGACAAUCUCCAUACACAACGGAAGGGAAUUGAAUAUUUAGAUAGAGCCCAAGGAGCUGCGGUAAGAUGCCAGGCACCUGCACAAAAUGUCCAAUGGUCUGCAAAAUCAAUGGCCCUAGUUGACAACAUUCAUAACCCAGUUUUAACAGAGACCAUGAAAGUGAAUGCUGAGUUUACGAAUUACUCCCAGCCCAUUGAAUCACAUCACAUGGUAUAUGAGAAGUUCAUUACAGAUUAGGAUAUUUUUCUGUUUGCCAAAGGUAUCAACUAUAAACGUUGCAUCUUGAAUGGCACAAUAGAAACUACUGUAACUCUAUUUGCUUUCUGCACAAGAGAUCUUUAGGUGUGAGCAUCCAGAAGAAGAAGAAGUACUUCAUCAGUUGCUUGGAUACAAAAUCACUCUGUCAAUCCUUGGAAACCCUAUUCCUUCUGUUGUUUAUUAUUACAUCCCACCAUCUUAUCACAGACCUCCGCAGUAUGCUCAUGUUAGAACUGCAGAAAGCAAGAUGAAACAAUGUGCCUGGACCAUGGUGUUUAUCUCUGGACUCCGGCCCCUUCUCGCAGCGGAUCAACCUGGGUUCGCUCCAAUGGACGCAUAUGCUGCCAGUUCAGUCGCCAAGUAUCCUGCAGCAGCGGCCUGCAAUAUGUUAGGUUCAAGAUGGUUCCGUGUGGGGUAAAUUUACUGCAUACGCAUCCAUGAGCUUCAGAAAUGCUUACUCUUAUCUCAGGAGGGCAUCUUCAAGUUGGUUUUGUUGACACUCAAGGUCAAGCUUUCAUCGAUAUUUUGCAUCCUGGAGAUGUCACCAUAUUUUCGAGGGGGACACUGCAUUUUGAACUUAAUGUUGGAACUGAAGAAGCUAAUUAUAUCUCUGCUCUCAACAGUCAAAAUCCUGGUGUUGUGACAAGCAGCAUGUCAAUAUUGAAGCUUCCAUUGAGAAGUGUGGCAACAGCUUUCAACAUCACCCAACAAGCUGUAAAGAAAUUAGAUUGAACGAUAUAUGCCAGUGCAUUGGGACUGAAAAAAACAUCCAAAAGCGAUUGUGUUCCAGGAAGAGAUAUUACUGAAGAAUUUUUAAUUAUAUGUUGAUUCCCACUCCACCACAAUAAAUGGCGUCCAUUGGGAACCAUAUGCACCGACCCGGCAUAAUGUGAGCAGAUAUCCAUUGCCAUGGGCUAAGACACAGGAAGCAGAGUUUUCACACUGUGCUUUCAUGGCCAGGGAAAAGUUCCAAUGGAUGAUGUAUACCGAUGUGGAUGAGUUUGUAUUCUCUGAUUCUUGGUUGAAUGAGCAGGUGGGUCCUGAGGACAAGGGCUUUCAGGAAGUAAAACCCAGCUGCAAGGAUCUUACUUCAGGGGCUCUCCUGAACAUGGUUAUGAGUCUAAGUUCACAGAGGAACAGCCUUCAAGAAUUUCCGAAUCUCAUAUCGGGCAACUUUCCUUCUAGUGUAGGAAUUUUGGGCCAUCAAGGCUUACCGAACACCCUGAGAGAGAGGCAGGAGAAAAGGUUCAAGUCCAUACUUUUGUUGGAAGCAAGUGCUUCAGAACACUUGAAGCACUUGCAGUUAGUUGUUGAUCUGAUUUUGGUUAAUUUGUAGUUACGUUAGAGGAGGUGAUAUUGGAAACAAAUUUAAGAUUCUUUGUGUUUAACAAUUUCUAUACACAACCAAAGGGAACUGAAUAUUUAGAUAUAGCCCAAUUUUCCCACUUCCUUUUCAAAGCAUUUUUUCCUUUGUAUUGUUUGUGUUUUUGAUUUUUUGUUUACUAGCUUCUUUGGGUUUGUUCUUGGUUUCUGAUGUGAUUCCUAUCUUUUUAUUCUCAAAUCCAUCCCAUCCCUUCUUAUCACCUUGAGAAUUUUUCUUAGCAUCUUAUUUCAAAAUAUUUUUUUUGAUUGCUAUUCGUAGUUUCUCUUUCUCUGUACUUAUUUUUUCAUAAUUUCUUUUACGAUGAUAAAGAUUCCUAAAGUCUCCAACUAGAAAUUCAUUUAUGUUUUUUGCAAGUUUAAAACUUUGUUAAAGUUUUUUUCGUAGUUCCUGCUCUUGUUGUUUUUCUUUUUCUUUUCUUCGUUUUUCAACCUAUCUUUCAAUCUGUCUAGCUUUUAUCACUUUUUUGUGCUCUUGGAACCUUUUCUUUAGUUUUUGCACUCUUUCUAAGCGUUUCCGCUAAUCUUCUAGCUCGAAUACCUUUUCCAAGUUCUUAAUUUCCUUUGGAGUAGUUGCGGAAUCCAAUUUUUGUAAUCUCUGUUCUUCCAUCUUUUAUCUUUCUUGUUUUCGUUGUCUCCUUUCCUCUUUGAUUUUUCGAAAUUCUGAGAGUUUGCUUCUUCUUUGGAUGUUCAAUUCCCUUUAGUUUGUAUAAAAAUUGUUUGAGAAAAAACAUUGCAGAGAUUCUUUGUCUUCAAAUCUGAAUUUUGGAGAAGAUGGUGGAACCAAUAGUGACACUUCACCAGACAAGAGGACAACAUCUUGGAUGAAUAAAAAUCCAUGGCUUUGCUUCAUAGUCAGAUUCAAGGAUUGGAAAUGAUUCCUCUGUGAAGCACUUGCUUGUAUGUGUAUGUUGUAUUCUAUCAUCUUUCUUCCAAAUCCUUCUUGCAGACCUCUAGGUAAGCGCAAAGGAAUCCUUAAAUUUUUGUCUGAUAACAACUCCUCUAACGUAACUCUAACUUAACCAAUGACAAGUGAACAACUGACUCAGAAAAAAUAGAAUAAGGAAUGCCUAAAAUUCUCAGCUGCUGUCAUCUAUUGCAAGUAUCCAUUAUGGCUACAUAUUACAAGGACAGAAAUACUUCUGUGGCAGUACCAGCGUUUGAGGAUCCAUAUCAUCUUUGACUAAAACAUCUGUGGUAAGUUUCCUUCAAGUGUAGGAAUUUUGGGCCAUCAGGGCUCACUGAACACCCUGACAGAGGGGUAACCCAAAGUUACACUGCAGAGAGAGGCAGGAGAAAAGGUUCAACUCCAUAGUUUUGUUGGAAGCUGCCUCUACUUCAUUGUUUAAUGUAAUACACCGUUUCCAGCUGAAGAAGGGGUACAGGACAUUUUAUAUGCAGUCCUCCAUGGCAAUGAUAAAUCAUUAUAAAUAUUAGGCAUGGAUUGAGUUUAAGGUCAAGUUUAGGAAGCGAGUAUCUGCCUAUGUUGUGGAUUGGAGUGCGUCUAAAUAUUCUGCUUCUCAGGACAAAACAGCUGGCUAAGGCCAUUCAGCCAGAUGAUUGGGAACAUAGAUUUUGUGAGGUGAUAGAUACUGCAUUGAAAGAUUUUGCAAUCAGGGUGUUUUGAUUGAGUAAUGAGCCAACUUCCAAACUAGAAUGGCAGUUAUAAAUCUAAUGUUUAAUGUUCAUAUACCUCAAAUUCUGUUUACUUGUAUAUAAUAACAAAUCCGUAUUGCCCCAGGUUUAAACUUGACAAUUUGAACUUAAUGCCAAAGGCAAAGAGGAUAGAUCAAUCUGUUACAGCAUAAGCCGUAUUUGAAAUCAUAAAUUAAGUAAAAGAGCAUAAUUGUACCAUGAUAUGUUUCACCAGGACAAGUCCUA